GCUGGCGGCGCGCUUACACAUGCAAGUCGAACGAGAAAGUUCCCUUCGGGGGGCGAGUAAAGUGGCGGACGGGUGAGUAACACGUGGGUAAUCUGCCCUUGAGUGGGGAAUAACUUUGGGAAACCGAAGCUAAUACCGCAUACGAUCCUUCGGGAUGAAAGCUUUAUGCGCUCAAGGAUGAGCCCGCGGUCGAUUAGCUAGUUGGUGGGGUAAUGGCUCACCAAGGCUACGAUCGAUAGCCGGCCUGAGAGGGCACACGGCCACACUGGCACUGAGACACGGGCCAGACUCCUACGGGAGGCAGCAGUGGGGAAUCUUGGUCAAUGGGGGAAACCCUGAACCAGCGACGCCGCGUGACCGAUGAAGGCCCUCGGGUCGUAAAGGUCUUUCGACGGGGACUAUAAUGAAGGUACCCGUAAAAGCAGGAGCGGCUAACUAUGUGCCAGCAGCCGCGGUAAUACAUAGGCUCCAAGCGUUGUUCGGAAUUACUGGGCGUAAAGCGAGUGUAGGCUGUCCGUCAAGUCGAUUGUGAAAUCUCCCGGCUCAACUGGGAGGGUGCGGUCGAAACUGACGGACUAGAGUUCGGGAGAGGAGAGUGGAAUUCCUGGUGUAGCGGUGAAAUGCGUAGAUAUCAGAGGAACACCGGCGGUGAAGACGGCUCUCUGGACCGAUGACUGACGCUGA
This 684-nucleotide ribosomal RNA is filed under the name uncultured Acidobacteriaceae bacterium. RNAcentral's name for it is "bacterial SSU rRNA". It matches the Rfam family "Bacterial small subunit ribosomal RNA", at positions 35 to 749 of the family's 1533-position model. The record is from RNAcentral. Lineage: Bacteria; Pseudomonadati; Acidobacteriota; Terriglobia; Terriglobales; Acidobacteriaceae.